CAGCAGCCACGGGAAUACGAAGGGUGCAAGCGUUACUCGGAAUUACUGGGCGUAAAGCGUGCGUAGGUGGUGGUUUAAGUCCGUUGUGAAAGCCCUGGGCUCAACCUGGGAAUUGCAGUGGAUACUGGGUCACUAGAGUGUGGUAGAGGAUAGUGGAAUUUCCGGUGUAGCAGUGAAAUGCGUAGAGAUCGGAAGGAACAUCUGUGGCGAAGGCGACUAUCUGGGCCAACACUGACACUGAGGCACGAAAGCGUGGGGAGCAAACAGGAUUAGAUACCCGGGUAGUUCCUGUCUCUUAUAC
RNAcentral lists this ribosomal RNA (301 nucleotides) under uncultured bacterium. RNAcentral describes it as "partial 16S ribosomal RNA". It matches the Rfam family "Bacterial small subunit ribosomal RNA", at positions 509 to 807 of the family's 1533-position model. The record is from RNAcentral.